GUGGGGAAUAUUGGACAAUGGGCGCAAGCCUGAUCCAGCCAUGCCGCGUGAGUGAUGAAGGCCUUAGGGUUGUAAAGCUCUUUUGUCCGGGAAGAUAAUAACUGUACCGGAAGAAUAAGCCCCGGCUAACUUCGUGCCAGCAGCCGCGGUAAUACGAAGGGGGCUAGCGUUGUUCGGAAUCACUGGGCGUAAAGCGCACGUAGGCGGACCAUUAAGUCAGGGGUGAAAGCCUGGAGCUCAACUCCAGAACUGCCUUUGAUACUGAUGGUCUCGAGUAUGGAAGAGGUUGGUGGAACUGCGAGUGUAGAGGUGAAAUUCGUAGAUAUUCGCAAGAACACCGGUGGCGAAGGCGGCCAACUGGUCCAUUACUGACGCUGAGGUGCGAAAGCGUGGGGAGCAAACAGGAUUAGAAACCCGAGUAGUCC
This 425-nucleotide ribosomal RNA is filed under the name uncultured bacterium. Its description in RNAcentral is "bacterial SSU rRNA". It matches the Rfam family "Bacterial small subunit ribosomal RNA", at positions 354 to 796 of the family's 1533-position model. The record is from RNAcentral.